GCCUCAGUAGUUCAGCCUGGUUAGAACACCGGUUUCAUAAGCCGGGUAUCGGCAGUUCAAAUCUGCCCUGAGGCA
This 75-nucleotide transfer RNA is filed under the name Candidatus Iainarchaeum sp. RNAcentral's name for it is "tRNA-Met". It matches the Rfam family "tRNA". From Rfam's summary of the family: Transfer RNA (tRNA) molecules are approximately 80 nucleotides in length. Their secondary structure includes four short double-helical elements and three loops (D, anti-codon, and T loops). The record is from RNAcentral. Lineage: Archaea; Nanobdellati; Candidatus Iainarchaeota; Candidatus Iainarchaeia; Candidatus Iainarchaeales; Candidatus Iainarchaeaceae.